GUGCUGCUUUUAUUUUUCUACUAGGUGUCUGGUUGGCUGGAUAUAUGGCUGGUUUUGCCACUCCCUCUCCAUCAUGCUGGGAAGCAUUUUGGCUGCAAAAGAAUCAGAUUCUAAGCUAACAAAUAUCCAGGGAGCAACUGUCUCAAAAACUGAGACCAAGGACGAAAACAAGCUCUCCCGACACUUUAAUGUUUCCUCUCCAAGCACCGCUAUCUCAGCAGUGAAGCCUCCUUAUUAAAGAGCAUGUCUUUUCAAAACUGACACCCAAGAAAAAGAAUUUGGAAAAUUGCAUCUAGCAGCCUCAUUUGGACGCACCUACCAGAGGAAUAUAUUUGCAGAUAAG
RNAcentral lists this long non-coding RNA (343 nucleotides) under Apteryx owenii (little spotted kiwi). RNAcentral describes it as "lncRNA (ENSAOWG00000001640.1)". Lineage: Eukaryota; Metazoa; Chordata; Aves; Apterygiformes; Apterygidae. The record is from RNAcentral.